GUUUUUAAUUGAAAUCUUGAAUGAAUGGUUUCAUGAAAUAUAGGCUUUUUUAAUUUUAAUAUUUGAAUUUUAUUUUUAAGUUAAAAAGCUUAUUUAAUAUAAAGGGACGAGAAGACCCUAUAGAAUUUUAUAGUUUUAUUUUUAUAAAUUAAUUUUAAAAUUAUUUUUAAAAAAUGUAAAUUAUUUUAUUGGGGAGAUAUUUAAAUUUAAAAAACUUUAGUUUUUAUAAUCAAAAAUUUUUGUAUUUAUGAUCUUUUAUUAUUGAUUAAAAACUUAAAUUACCUUAGGGAUAACAGCAUAAUAAUUUUAAAAAGUUCUUAUUUUUAAAAUAGUUUAU
Molecule: ribosomal RNA, 337 nt
Filed under: Acodiplosis inulae
Lineage: Eukaryota; Metazoa; Arthropoda; Insecta; Diptera; Cecidomyiidae
Description: partial 16S ribosomal RNA
Source: RNAcentral